This 62-nucleotide transfer RNA is filed under the name Fukomys damarensis (Damara mole-rat). The record is from Rfam by way of RNAcentral. Lineage: Eukaryota; Metazoa; Chordata; Mammalia; Rodentia; Bathyergidae.
GGGGAUGAAGCUCAGUGGUAGAGUGCUUGCCUAGCAUGCAAGGAGACCUGCAUACAACCCCC